RNAcentral lists this ribosomal RNA (465 nucleotides) under uncultured bacterium. RNAcentral's name for it is "partial 16S ribosomal RNA". It matches the Rfam family "Bacterial small subunit ribosomal RNA", at positions 28 to 507 of the family's 1533-position model. The record is from RNAcentral.
GACGAACGCUGGCGGCGUGCUUAACACAUGCAAGUCGAACGGAAAGGCCCCUUUGGGGGUACUCGAGUGGCGAACGGGUGAGUAACACGUGAGUAACCUCCCCUUGACUUCGGGAUACCUUCCGGAAACUGGGGCUAAUCCCGAUUAGGAAUCCUUGCUGCAUGGUGGGGGUUGGAAAGCUUCGGCGGUUUUGGCUGGACUUGCGGGCUAUCAGCUUGUUGGUGGGGUAGUGGCUUACCAAGGUUUUGCCGGGUAGGCGGCCUGAGAGUGCGACCGGCCACAUUGGGACUGAGAGACGGCCCAGACGCCGACGGGAGGCAGCUGGGGGGAAGAUUGAACAAGGGGCGGAAGCCGGAUGCAGCAAGGCUGCGGGCGGGAUGACGGUCUUCGGGUUGGAAAACGCUUUCAGCAGGGGCGAAGCGUGUGGUGACGGUACCUGCAGAAGAAGCACCGGCUAACUACGUG